RNAcentral lists this ribosomal RNA (252 nucleotides) under uncultured bacterium. RNAcentral's name for it is "partial 16S ribosomal RNA". It matches the Rfam family "Bacterial small subunit ribosomal RNA", at positions 525 to 776 of the family's 1533-position model. The record is from RNAcentral.
ACAGAGGGUGCAAACGUUGUUCGGAUUGACUGGGCGUAAAGCGCGUGUAGGCGGCUUGGCAAAUCGGAUGUGAAAGCCCACGGCUCAACCGUGGAAGCGCAUCCGAAACUGCUUCGCUUGAGUCUCGGAGAGGAAGGUGGAAUGCUUGGUGUAGAGGUGAAAUUCGUAGAUAUCAAGCAGAACACCUGCGGCGAAGGCGGCCUUCUGGACGAUGACUGACGCUGAGACGCGAAAGCGUGGGGAGCAAACAGG